UACGGAGGGUGCAAGCGUUAUCCGGAUUCACUGGGUUUAAAGGGUGCGUAGGUGGUCUGUUAAGUCAGCGGUGAAAGCCUGGAGCUCAACUCCAGAAUUGCCAUUGAUACUGACGGACUUGAAUCAAGUUGAGGUGGAUGGAAUAUUACAUGUAGCGGUGAAAUGCUUAGAUAUGUAAUAGAACACCAAUUGCGAAGGCAGUUCACUAAGCUUGCAUUGACACUGAGGCACGAAAGCGUGGGGAUCAAACAGG
This 253-nucleotide ribosomal RNA is filed under the name uncultured bacterium. RNAcentral describes it as "partial 16S ribosomal RNA". It matches the Rfam family "Bacterial small subunit ribosomal RNA", at positions 524 to 776 of the family's 1533-position model. The record is from RNAcentral.